UACGUAGGGGGCGAGCGUUGUCCGGAAUCAUUGGGCGUAAAGCGCGUGUAGGCGGCUUGGUAAGUCUGGUGUGAAACCUUGGGGCUCAACCCCAAGCCUGCACUGGAUACUGCCUGGCUUGAGUCCGGGAGGGGAGAGCGGAAUUCCUAGUGUAGCGGUGAAAUGCGCAGAUAUUAGGAAGAACACCGGUGGCGAAGGCGGCUCUCUGGAACGGUACUGACGCUGAGACG
Molecule: ribosomal RNA, 230 nt
Filed under: uncultured microorganism
Description: partial 16S ribosomal RNA
Rfam family: Bacterial small subunit ribosomal RNA
Source: RNAcentral